GCACUUCUUAUGAGAAUCAUAUGCCUCGUGAUCUGAGGUGGAGCUGAGGCUGUGAUGCUAGCACUGGGGAGGGGCUGCAAACACAGAUUAUUGUUAGCAAAGACGUCUGACUGUGCAGAGACCAUAAUAAAUUUUCUGCUUGCAGACUUGUAUCAGACAAACUCAGGACCCCCACUGAUUCUGCAUUAUGGUCACACGGAAAGCUACUUUCGUAAUCCAGGUGUUCACUCCCCAGCAUGAAGGAGCUGACCAACUGACUGACUGUCAUGAGCCCAACCCAGCAGCUGUUGGGCCUCCACUUUUGUCUACUUUGCUAGUUCUUACAUGGCAUAAUUGGACUCACAUUGGGUCAGGAGACAUCAUCUAUGCAACCAAAAGACUGAUGGUAUCUUUCCCAUCUGAAAAGUCACAUCAGCAGUAACAGCAGACUGGAGGGCGGCACAUCAACAGUUAGAUGUUUCCACAUUAAACAUUAAAUGUGGCACAUCUGAGCAAGUCAACUCAGCAGGCCUCAUUUCAAGGAUAAAGUCUAAUCUCUCAGAGCAGAACUAAGGAUCAAGAAUUAGAAGUAAGAUCUUCUACAAUCAAAAUCAUUAACUGAUUUUUGCUUAAGUCCUAAAGAGAGGUGUGGGGGUACACUAUUGUUCAUUUUGCUAUCUUCAGUAAAAAAUAAAAAAUAUCGAAUUAAUGUAGUUGAGUAUUAUUAAACUGUACAAAGUUAUGUUUUACUGUCAGUAUUAAACUAAAGCAUGCGCUAUCUUGGAACAGAAAUGAGUCAUUUUUAUGUCUUCCUCAAGCAAGUUUACCAUAACUUUACUUAAGCUUUUUAGAACUGUUUUGAGUAUAUUUCUAUAAAUGUCAGUUACCAAAAAUGAGUUUCAAUGUAAGUGGUUUUAGCUUGUGUACAGCAAUUCUGGCCUCAACACCAAAGAAUAAAAAGGGCAGAAAGAACUCUGAUGUUUCUGGAAAUCAUGGACUUUUUUCCUGGG
Molecule: long non-coding RNA, 989 nt
Filed under: Capra hircus (goat)
Lineage: Eukaryota; Metazoa; Chordata; Mammalia; Artiodactyla; Bovidae
Description: lncRNA (ENSCHIG00000006055.1)
Source: RNAcentral